This is a long non-coding RNA of Ictalurus punctatus (channel catfish), 4907 nucleotides long. Lineage: Eukaryota; Metazoa; Chordata; Actinopteri; Siluriformes; Ictaluridae. The record is from Ensembl.
UAUAUAUAUAUAUAUCUGUACAUACACACCUCUCUCUCCAGCACCCUGGCUAGCACACUGAGGAAAAGGUUACAGCAGUUACAUCUGCUAUAAAUCUUCAUGCUAGAUGUCCGAUUUCUAGCUUUUAAGUCUUUUUUUUUUUCUCUUCCACCCCCAUACUUAAUGACAUAGAAUGUAAUGAGUAGUGCGUGCAGAAAGCUGGCGUGGUAACUGUGUGUUACAUACCUGUUGAGGGUGUUCUCCUGCAGAUAGAGCGAAAAAGUGACAGAGAGUGAGAGAGAGAAAGAGAUUGUGAGAAAGAAAUGAAGAGAAAGAGCAAAACAAAGUGUUGUAAAGUUUAAAUUUCCUAAUUGGCCCGAUGGUGUAUGUUCUACUGCACGUUUUGAGAUAGAACAUGUAAACCUUUAGUUAUCAAAUAAAAGUAAGUGUGUGUGUGUGUGUGUGUGUGUGUGUGUGUGUGUGUGUGUGUGUGUGUGUGUGUGUGUGUAAAUGUGAGCAUGCAUGUAUACGUGUUUUUGGCCUUUGGGUCUUCCUGUGAGUCACUCCCAUGAGAUAAACCCAGUAAAGCUGUCCUAGUCCUCUCUAAUUCCUCAUUAGCUCACGGCAGGCUGUCUCAGGGGGAUUUGCACUGCCUGUGGUGUGUGUGUAUGCGUUAGUUCAGGCUCACUAGAUCUGAACGUGAAACACUAUGGGGCUUCUUAGUGGGAGGCUGCGGCAGGCCAGGUGUGUGUUCACUGCCAGGUGUGUGUAUAUGCCAGGUUCAGGAGCAGGGGAUAAGUAUGUCAGCACAACAGUGUGUUAAGUAGCAUUCAAUUUGGGAUUAUGCGCAGAAAGGAAGAGACAGUGCGAGAGAGAGAGAGAGAGAGAGAGAGCUCUUUGAAUCAGUGCUUCUUCAGUUUAUCAGUUGAAUUAAUAUACAACCCCAAUACCAAAAAAGUUGGGACGUUGUGUAAAAUGUAAAUAAAAACAGAAUGCAAUGAUUUGCAAAUCUCAUAAACUCACGUUAUUCACAAUAGAACGUCAAAAACAUAUCAAAUGUUUAAUUUGAGUAAAUGUACCAUUUUAAGAUAAAAAAAAAAGUAAUGUUGAAUUUGAUGGUCGCAAAAUGUCUCAAAAAAGUUGGGACGGUGCAACAAAAGGCUGGAAAAGUAAGUGUUACUAAAAAGAAACAGCUGGAGGUUAAUUGGAAAUAGGUCAGUAAGAUGAUUGGGUGUAAAAAGAGUAUCUUUUUAUAGAGGCAGAGUCUUUCAGAAGUAAAGAUGGGCAGAGGUUCAUUAACGAAUGUGAAAAACUGCAUCUACAAAUUGUGGAACAAUUUCAGAAUAAUGUUCCUCAAUGUAAAAUUGAGAAAGACUAUGAAUAUCUCAUCAUCUACAAUACCUAAUAUCGUCAAAAGAUUCAGAGAUUCUUGAGAAAUCUCUGUGCACAAGGGACAAGGGUGAAAAUCAGUAUUGCGUUGCCCGUGAUCUUCGGGCCCUCAGGUGGCACUGGAUUAAAAAACAGGCAUGAUUCUGUAAUGGAAAUCAGUGAAAUCAGUGCAGAAACACCUCCAGAACUCAUUGUCUGUGAACACAGUUCGCCGUGCCAUCCACAAAUGCUGCUUAAAGCUCCAUCAUGCAAAGAAGAAGCCAUAUGUGAACAUGAUCCAGAAAUGCCGCCGUCUUCUCUCGGCCAAAGCUCAUUUAAAAUGGACUGGGGAAAAGUGGAAAACUGUUCUGUGAUCAGACGAAUGGAAGUUUUAAAUACUUUUUGAAAAACCAUAGACACUAAACUAAAGAGGACUAAAGAGGAGAGGGACCAUCCGGCUUCUUAUCAGUGCUCAGUUCAAAAGCCUGCGUCUCUGAUGGUAUGGGAGUGCAUUAGUGCCGAUGGAGUUGGCAGCUUGAAUACUGAGAAAUGCACCAUCAAUUCUGAAAGGUAUAUACAGGUUUUAUAGCAACAUCCAGAUGCUUCCAUCCAGAUUCCAUCCCAUCUUUACUUCUGAAAGACUCUGCCUCUCUAAGAUACUCUUUUUAUACCCAAUCAUGUUACUGACCUGUUGCCAGUUAACGUAAUUGGUCGCAAAAUGUUCCUAAUAAAUAAAUAAAUAAAUAAUAAUGAUGAUGAUAAUGAUGAUGAUUAUAACAUCACACUUUAUAUGACACAGUAAAGAUGUAUAAAUAUAUAAGCAGCAGAAUGGAAAUGGCAUCUUUUAUGGUCUGGAAAUAGAUGGUACAUAUCAACUUUGCAGUAAGAAUAAGGCAUACAGUCUUCGAUCAGACGAGCGCAACACAGUUUCAGCGAUGUGUUAUAACAUUGCCCUCCCGCGACCGUCCCCAUGACUGCUCUGCACCUUGAGGCUUUUUAAAUAGGACAAAGGAGAAGGUGAGAGGAGCCACACUUGUGUAGUCUUGCAGCUGUUUAUUUGAUAUUACCCUGUUUAUCUUGGGUGUUAAACUUUGUCAGAGUUUGCUUUUCCUGUUGGUUCUUAGCACAGGGCACCAGAUCUGCCUCAUCAGUGUGACCUUUGUGUUUGACCUGUCUCACAACCUCCGACCACAAACACACUCCAGCCUGAAAGACAGUGUGAAUGGGAUCCUGUUCAGAUCUGAUCUGUGAUCUCUAAACAGAUUUAAAAAAAAAUAAAAAUCUUUGUUGUGUUAUUGAACUUUCUUUAAAUUUCUGCAUAUAAUUGUGUCACAUUGUAGCGUUGUGACUCAUUUCAAAGGCAGUAAAUAACUAACUUUCUCAACACUGCUCAGUAGCUCCUACCAGUGGAAUGAUCUGAUACUGCAGCUGGAAAGCAGGUCAGCUGUAUUAUUCCACAGGAUGAGGCAUGAGAAUUGAAGAGUUUCAUUUAAUAACAAUUACUGUAGAACCAAUAAUACACGAUUGUUAUAUUAUUUUGUGUAGUCUAGAAUACGUUUAUCAGGACAAACCAUAUCAUGCAAGUCUCUUUAUUUAUCUCUAUAACCAUAAGCCAGCAGAUGAAAGCAUGAGGCACACUUUGGACAUGAGGUAAAUAGGAACAUAACAGGAACAGAUUUUCCCUCAUCAGAUGUACCUAGCCUUUGUUUGGAAAAGUGGGCCCUUGUAUGAAAUUGUAGCGCCCCCCCCCCCCCCCCCUUCUUUUUUCCAGUUGCUGUCUCUCAUCUUUCGUUUGCUUUGUCAGACCUGUGCCAGUGUUUCCUGAUAGUUGAGUAAUUACUUGUAAGAGAUAGCACUCCUACAGUGCUGUACUCCUAAUCGCACCGGCUGGUCUCCACUGCAGAUCAUUCGGAGGAUAAACAUGCUAGUUUAACAGCGCCAUAAACACCACUUUCGUCUGUAUCUAUGUGCGUGUGAUGUCCUGCACUAGCCCCCAUUUGUAUGCACAACAAAUGAGUCCAAGCACAGCCAUGUUCAGCUUUUAAAAGAUGACCAACUGUUACAUAGCAGGCUCACAGCUGAUGAUAGGAUGAUCACUGACAAUUUAGUGUGUUUGUUUCUUCUUCUCAGCAUCUCUCUUUUGCAGGGCAAACGCUGCUAGUGAAAUACGUUUGGCAUGCCACAAGUGUUUUGCGCUUCAAGCUACAGUUGCACACACAACUGAAACGUAUAUUGCUUUGAAAGCCUGACAUACAUUUCUGACAGUAAUUGACUGGAAUGUUCAUGUCACACCAGUGCACCCACAGAGACAGUUACUCGUUCCCUGUUACUUGUCUAACAUCCUCUCAUCUCACACAGGCUCCUCAUUGUAAUCCCCAAAACACACACACACACACACACACACACAAUUACACACACACUCCCAACAGUUAGCUAGCCCACUUUUGAACAGACAACCCCCCUCUCCCGGUUGCUUAUGAAGUCUGAAUCAGGGUUCAGUGUCUCAUCCACCAGCGGGGAUCUAAAUAUUCCAUUACAGUAUGUGUUUUCAUGCAAUUGUCCAAAAACAGGACGAAGAGCCGUAAACGAUAUACCAGUAGAGGCAUCAUAUAAUGUAGCAGACCUCCAUACAGUUCUCUGUCUCCUUCUCACUUACAUGUGUUCUCUCUCUCUCUCUCUCUCUCUCUCUCUCUCUCUCUCUCUCUCGCUCUCUCUCACACCUCACUUACAGACAAUAAUCUCUCAGGACAUCCCUUGAUAUCCCAUAAGAACCCCACCCAGGAGGAAGAGUAACCCGAGAGCCCGUUUCUCAGGCUGUGUGUAUGUGUCUUCAGUGAAACUGUAGUAAUGUGAGACUGGCAAGUGAGGAAGCAGCACUGUAAACAGUACACAGUCAUUAACAGUGUGAAACCAGACACUGACAGUGCUGAAGCUGGUCAGUUCCCCAGCAUCAUCAGAGUGCAUUGUCCUCAUUGUCCAUCACUGUUCAGUGUCUGGUCAUGGGGGAGCCCUGCAACCACCCACCCAGACUGUUCACCGUGGGAAGCAGCACAUCAAGAAGAAUUGUGCAUGUUUGGCUCAGGUGGGAACUGGGGAACAUUCAUAGACGUAUCUACAUUCUAGUUCUCUGUAAAAGAAGCCCCAUAUCUGAAAAGAAGAAUUAUUACAAAGAAAUAUGUUACAAUUAUUGUCCCUGUUAAUUGCACAUAUAGAUGCAAGGUGAAAAAAUGCUAGCAUGCUAGCAUGUAUAUCAAAGCUGAAAUGCCUUAGAUUAUCUCUAUUAAAUGCAUUUUAGAAGUUAUUAUUGCCAUACAUAGUUUUCAUUUUAUAAUUAUGUCUGUUUCUGCACAUUACUCAGCACACUGGCAUGAGUGCAGAACAGUACAUUCACUAUGCUGAUAAACUGUUCCUGUUUUACACCUGCUGAUUUAUAGAUUAGAUUAAAUCUGGGAAUGGCAUAGAGGAUUACACCACUGCUGCUUUCCAUGGAGCAGAAAAAACACCUUGUCUGCUGCAGCAUGAGGCAGAGCCUGAAGGUCAGGGGGUCUUGUUUACCUGGG